AGAGUUCUCGCCCUCGCGGGUAGAUCUCCCACCCUCUGUUAUUGCUACCGUGUUGCUUUGGCGGGCUGCUAGGCCUGGCCUGGCCGCCGGCUCCGGCUGGCGCGCGCCCGCCAGAGGCCCGAUAAAUUCUGAUUGUCAGUGUCGUCUGAGUACUAUAUAAUAGUUA
Molecule: unclassified non-coding RNA, 166 nt
Filed under: uncultured Oidiodendron
Lineage: Eukaryota; Fungi; Ascomycota; Leotiomycetes; Myxotrichaceae
Description: sequence contains ITS1
Source: RNAcentral